Peromyscus leucopus (white-footed mouse) is the source of this 104-nucleotide small nuclear RNA. The record is from RefSeq and is a predicted model, not a curated record. Lineage: Eukaryota; Metazoa; Chordata; Mammalia; Rodentia; Cricetidae.
GUGCUAGCUUCAACAGCACAUAUACUAAAAUUGGAAUGAUACAGAGAUUAGCAUGGCCCCUGGGCAAAGAUGAAAUGCUAAUUCGUGAAGUGUUCCAUAUUUUU